Molecule: ribosomal RNA, 831 nt
Filed under: uncultured archaeon
Lineage: Archaea
Description: bacterial SSU rRNA
Rfam family: Archaeal small subunit ribosomal RNA
Source: RNAcentral
UGUAGCAAUACAAGGCAGACGGCUCAGUAACGCGUAGUCAACCUAACCUAUGGACGGGAAUAACCUCGGGAAACUGAGAAUAAUGCCCGAUAGAACACUAUACCUGGAAUGGUUUGUGUUCCAAAUGAUUUAUCGCCGUAGGAUGGGACUGCGGCCUAUCAGUUUGUUGGUGAGGUAAUGGCCCACCAAGACUAUUACAGGUACGGGCUCUGAGAGGAGUAGCCCGGAGAUGGGUACUGAGACACGGACCCAGGCCCUAUGGGGCGCAGCAGGCGAGAAAACUUUGCAAUGUGCGAAAGCACGACAAGGUUAAUCCGAGUGGUUUCUGCUAAAGGAACCUUUUGUCGGUCCUAGAAACACCGAUGAAUAAGGGGUGGGCAAGUUCUGGUGUCAGCCGCCGCGGUAAAACCAGCACCUCAAGUGGUCAGGAUGAUUAUUGGGCCUAAAGCAUCCGUAGCCGGCUCUGUAAGUUUUCGGUUAAAUCUGUACGCUCAACGUACAGGCUGCCGGGAAUACUGCAGAGCUAGGGAGUGGGAGAGGUAGACGGUACUCGGUAGGAAGGGGUAAAAUCCUUUGAUCUAUUGAUGACCACCUGUGGCGAAGGCGGUCUACCAGAACACGUCCGACGGUGAGGGAUGAAAGCUGGGGGAGCAAACCGGAUUAGAUACCCGGGUAGUCCCAGCUGUAAACUAUGCAAACUCAGUGAUGCAUUGACUUGUGGUCAAUGCAGUGCUGCAGGGAAGCCGUUAAGUUUGCCGCCUGGGAAGUACGUACGCAAGUAUGAAACUUAAAGGAAUUGGCGGGGGAGCACCACAAGGGGUGAAGCCUGCG